Molecule: non-coding RNA, 30 nt
Filed under: Rattus norvegicus (Norway rat)
Lineage: Eukaryota; Metazoa; Chordata; Mammalia; Rodentia; Muridae
Source: RNAcentral
UCCCAACUCAAUGAAGAAAUCUUCAUCCAC